UGGCGGCGCGCUUAACACAUGCAAGUCUUCCGAGAACCGGGCCUUCGGGCCUGGGGAAAGCGGCGAACGGGUGAGUAACACGUGGGUAACCCACCCUUGGUACUGGGAUAGCCCGGGGAAACCCGGAUUAAUACCGGAUGGCCCAACAGCUCUUCGGGGCGGUUGGAAAAGGUAGCUUCGGCCUCCGACCAAGGACGGGCCCGCGGCGGAUUAGCUUGUUGGUGGGGUAAUGGCCCACCAAGGCGACGAUCCGUAGCUGGUCUGAGAGGACGAUCAGCCACACUGGGACUGAGACACGGCCCAGACUCCUACGGGAGGCAGCAGUGGGGAAUCUUGCGCAAUGGGCGAAAGCCUGACGCAGCGACGCCGCGUGGGGAAGAAGGCUUUCGGGUUGUAAACCCCUUUCAGGAAGGACGAAGCCACUCGGGUGAAUAGCCCAGAGGGUGACGGUACUUCCAGAAGAAGCCCCGGCUAACUACGUGCCAGCAGCCGCGGUAAUACGUAGGGGGCAAGCGUUGUCCGGAUUUAUUGGGCGUAAAGAGCGUGUAGGCGGUUUGGUAGGUCCGCUGUGAAAACUCGAGGCUCAACCUCGAGACGCCGGUGGAAACCAUCAGGCUAGAGUCCGGAAGAGGAGAGUGGAAUUCCUGGUGUAGCGGUGAAAUGCGCAGAUAUCAGGAAGAACACCCGUGGCUAAGGCGGCUCUCUAGUACGGUACUGACGCUGAGACGCGAAAGCGUGGGGAAGCGAACAGGAUUAGAUACCCUGGUAGUCCACGCCGUAAACGAUGGGUGCUA
This 794-nucleotide ribosomal RNA is filed under the name uncultured bacterium. Its description in RNAcentral is "bacterial SSU rRNA". It matches the Rfam family "Bacterial small subunit ribosomal RNA", at positions 37 to 818 of the family's 1533-position model. The record is from RNAcentral.